AAUGAGAUGCCUGAUUGAAAAGGAUUAUUUUGAUAGGAUAAAUCAUGUAGUUUCGCUACUCUCAUUA
RNAcentral lists this transfer RNA (67 nucleotides) under Anthonomus eugenii (pepper weevil). RNAcentral describes it as "tRNA-Ile". Lineage: Eukaryota; Metazoa; Arthropoda; Insecta; Coleoptera; Curculionidae. The record is from RNAcentral.